This is a ribosomal RNA of 590 nucleotides. The stretch from base 187 to 340 matches the Rfam family "5.8S ribosomal RNA".
UGGGGCCGUGUUAUUCUAUUGCAGCGCUUACUGCGCGGCGAAAACCUUACACACAGUGAUUUCUUUCUUUGAAAACAUUGCUUUGGUCUGGCGCAAGUUGGGCCAAAGGUUUAUUAAACUUCAAUUUUAUAUUGAACUGUUAUUUUAACUAAAGUCAAUUUGUUGAUUAAAUUCAAAAAUCUUCAAAACUUUCAACAACGGAUCUCUUGGUUCUCGCAUCGAUGAAGAACGCAGCGAAUUGCGAUAAGUAAUAUGAAUUGCAGAUUUUCGUGAAUCAUCGAAUCUUUGAACGCACAUUGCGCCCUUUGGUAUUCCAAAGGGCAUGCCUGUUUGAGCGUCAUUUCUCUCUCAAAUCUUCGGAUUUGGUUUUGAGUGAUACUCUUAGUCGAACUAGGCGUUUGCUUGAAAAGUAUUGGCAAGAGUGGUACUUUAGGUGCUAAACUGUUUCAAUGUAUUAGGUUUAUCCAACUCGUUGAAUCUGGUUAGUUACUUUAGGGUGCUUAGGCUCGGCCUUACAACAACAAACAAAGUUUGACCUCAAAUCAGGUAGGAUUACCCGCUGAACUUAAGCAUAUCAAUAAGCGGAGGAA